Molecule: unclassified non-coding RNA, 358 nt
Filed under: soil metagenome
Description: partial contains 5.8S ribosomal RNA, internal transcribed spacer 2, and large subunit ribosomal RNA
Rfam family: 5.8S ribosomal RNA (bases 1-120)
Source: RNAcentral
GAUGAAGAACGCAGCGAAACGCGAUACGUAAUGUGAAUUGCAGAAUUCAGUGAAUCAUCGAAUCUUUGAACGCACAUUGCGCCCGUCAGUAUUCUGGCGGGCAUGCCUGUUCGAGCGUCAUUACGCCCCUCAAGUCCCCUGUGGACUUGGUGUUGGGGAUCGGCGAGGCUGGUUUUCCAGCACAGCCGUCCCUUAAAUUAAUUGGCGGUCUCGCCGUGGCCCUCCUCUGCGCAGUAGUAAAACACUCGCAACAGGAGCCCGGCGCGGUCCACUGCCGUAAAACCCCCCAACUUUUUAUAGUUGACCUCGAAUCAGGUAGGACUACCCGCUGAACUUAAGCAUAUCAAUAAGCGGAGGA